CUCCUCUUAGCAUUGCACCUGGAGAGUUUCCAGUAUUCUACCAGACUCGACUACGGAGGGAGAGUCAAGCAGAGGCAUAUCCAUUCCAUUCCUAGCUUGGGCAGUGACUAGUGAGUGGAAGACAAUCUGCUACAAAU
Molecule: non-coding RNA, 137 nt
Organism: Ornithorhynchus anatinus (platypus)
Lineage: Eukaryota; Metazoa; Chordata; Mammalia; Monotremata; Ornithorhynchidae
Source: Rfam